AUGCCAGGUGUACUUGUAUGUGAAUAUGAAUUCACUAACUACUCUGCACAUAAAAUUGAAUACACUACUUCAUCUCCUAAACAUCAACAGGAUGAACAAUACGUCCUUCAUUUUCUCUCAAAAUCAAUAGGCAAUGGAUUGAUGAAGUCCAUGUGUUUGCUCUACAGCUGUUUAUUGCAUGUCAAACCUGUGGAAGGAAUUAUUUCACCUACAAUGCAACAAUUCACUUGUAUCUCACUGGUAUGGACGGUGGGCAACAGAUUGAAUUAAAGCCUUCUGUCCAUAUUUAGUUCAUUUAUUUUGGACAGAGAAAUGAGAGUUCAAUGUAGUAAUGUCUUCUGUUGACCAAUUAUAAUUUGAAGUCAUCAAACCAGGUACCCUUUAAGCAACGGUAUAAUAACACACCCCACUCUGUGCAGGUUUAGAUGAUGGAUGACUAGAAUCUGAAGUAACUGGACAGCUGUCUGAACAGACUAUUUCAUUAUACGUGAAGGGAUGCCAUUUCUAACUAUGAUGAUAAUUAGAGUAGAUGAAAUGCAUAAAUCAUUGUGGUUUUUUAUAGCUUUGGUUUGGGGGAACAAUUUUUAACCCUCCUUAUGGGCUCAAUGCUUUGGAUUAGGAUCCAAUGCAUAUUUCUAUAAUUGGAAGGAUUUGAUAUUCUUACUUCAAGUGCUUAUGUGAUAUGUUUUCUCGUAUCUGAAUUCAUACAGUAACACACAAUGCAGUAAGAAUGUCCUGUAGCGAUCAAGGGAUUGAAUAAAAAUGCCUGAUGAUAUCAUUAUUGGCAUUAUUUUUGCUCUUGUAAUUGCUAUUCUUUUGGUCGGGUUAUUUCUGUAGUUCAAAGUAAUUCCUUUCUUCUUUUCUAAUAUCUCACCUAUAAUGUUCCCUAUUUUAAUUAUCUAUUAUCUACCAAAAUUUUCUGAAACUUAAGAAAAUUAAAACUGCCAUUAAUUAUCUUUCAAUAGUCUAUGUUGUCUGGGAGCAGUUAGGCAGUUACUCAACUAAUCUUCACUGAGAUUUCUCAUGUUAUUGAAGGCACAUAGUAGAUGGGGCAGAUUUUAUCUGAAGCCUUGCCUGGAAUUCUGGGGAACCUGGGCCACAUUCUCUCUUCUUGUAGUCUGAAGCGUUCUCUUUCCGGAUUAUCUUUCCACGUGCCCUCCCCAUGUGGAAUCUUCGUAGUGAGACUUCUUACAUGACAUCUAAAACUAGAAGCUGACUGUGUUGUUAAAGGCUGGGCACAUACAAGCAUAGGUUGAAUUUGCCAUAUUCUCUUGGUUAACCCUAAUUCCAGGCCAGCCCAAAAUCCAUGAACAAAGGAAUUACAAAAAUACAAACAAACAAAAAAACACAUAAAUACUGGAAGGUUUAAUUCAUCUGGAGCCAUCUUUAAAAACCAAUAAUUUAAAAAUAA
Molecule: long non-coding RNA, 1411 nt
Filed under: Ovis aries (sheep)
Lineage: Eukaryota; Metazoa; Chordata; Mammalia; Artiodactyla; Bovidae
Description: lncRNA (ENSOARG00000025319.1)
Source: RNAcentral